This 214-nucleotide long non-coding RNA is filed under the name Homo sapiens (human). RNAcentral describes it as "HSALNT0023531". Lineage: Eukaryota; Metazoa; Chordata; Mammalia; Primates; Hominidae. The record is from RNAcentral.
GUUAAUGUAUGUACACGUUAUAAACACUGUGUCAGUUUACGAUGGCAGCAACGGAAGUUGUUACAAAGAAAGUGACUGCGGGGUGGCUGGAGCUCAGCCGCCCCCCCAUUGAGAAGAUUCGUCGUCCUGAGAAGUCGCGUGCUGGAGGUGGACAGCGAGGCCAGGAUGGAGCCGCCGAUCCACACCGAGUAUUUGCGCUCCGGCGGGGCGAUGA